CUCGACCGUUGCUGCUACCUUGAUGUGGUGGUCGGACUUGCCUAUCGUGAUGAACCAAUCGAGCUAUACUAGCUCGAGGUCCUACCAUGCCAGGCAGGUCGGUCGAAGAGCGGUAAGACUAAAAGCAGC
RNAcentral lists this non-coding RNA (129 nucleotides) under Schistosoma mansoni. The record is from RNAcentral. Lineage: Eukaryota; Metazoa; Platyhelminthes; Trematoda; Strigeidida; Schistosomatidae.